UACGUAGGGUGCAAGCGUUGUCCGGAAUUAUUGGGCGUAAAGAGCUCGUAGGCGGUCUGUCGCGUCUGCUGUGAAAACUCAGGGCUUAACCCUGAGCUUGCAGUGGGUACGGGCAGACUAGAGUGCGGUAGGGGAGACUGGAAUUCCUGGUGUAGCGGUGAAAUUCGUAGAUAUCAGGAGGAACACCGGUGGCGAAGGCGGGUCUCUGGGCAACAACUGACGCUGAGGAGCGAAAGCGUGGGGAGCGAACAGG
RNAcentral lists this ribosomal RNA (253 nucleotides) under uncultured bacterium. RNAcentral describes it as "partial 16S ribosomal RNA". It matches the Rfam family "Bacterial small subunit ribosomal RNA", at positions 524 to 776 of the family's 1533-position model. The record is from RNAcentral.